GAAAAAGGAUUUACACAUGGUCUUUAUAGAUUUGGAAAAAGCGUAUGAUAGGGUCCCAAGAGACAUUCUUUGGAGGAUUUUAGAGAAGAAAGGAGUACGAGUAGCAUAUAUCCAAGCUAUAAAGGAUAUGUAUGAAGGAGCAAAGACUGCCAUAAGAACUCAUGAAGGACAAACCGAAAGCUUCCCCAUAACUGUAGGAUUACAUCAAGGCUCAUCCUUAAGUCCUUACCUUUUUGCGUUGGUAAUGGAUGAGUUAACAGGACAUAUUCAAGAUGAUAUUCCUUGGUGAAUGCUUUUCGCUGACGAUAUAGUGUUGAUAGAUGAAACUCAGGAAGGUGUAAAUGCGAAGCUUAACCUUUGGAGAGAAGUGUUGGAAUCUAAAGGUCUUCGCCUAAGCCGAUCAAAGACAGAAUAUAUGGAGUGCAAGUUCAGUGCAAAUGGAGGCCAAAAUGAGUUAGGGGUGAGGAUCGGAGAUCAGGAAAUACCAAAGAGCGACCGUUUUCGCUACCUAGGAUCUAUCUUACAAAAGAACGGAGAAUUAGAUGGAGAUCUCAACCAUAGAAUACAAGCUGGAUGGAUGAAGUGGAAGAGUGCAUCCGGCGUGUUGUGUGAUCGUCGUAUGCCACUGAAGCUUAAGGGAAAAUUUUAUAGGACGACAAUAAGGCCGGCGAUGCUGUAUGGCACAGAAUGUUGGGCGGUGAAGCACCAACACGUACACAAAAUGGGUGUAGCGGAGAUGAGGAUGCUUCGUUGGAUGUGUGGGCACACGAGAAAGGAUAAGAUUAGGAAUGAGGAUAUCCGAGGUAAAGUAGGAGUAGCCGAAAUUGAAGGAAAACUGAGAGAAAAUCGGUUACGGUGGUUUGGACAUGUGCAAAGAAGGCCUACUGACGCUCCGGUUAGAAGAUGCGACUACGGGACAGAGGUUCAGGGCCGAAGGGGUAGAGGAAGACCUAGGAAAACUUUGGAAGAGACUCUAAGAAAAGACUUAGAGUACUUGGAUCUAACGGAGGAGGAUACAUGACACAGGAUCGAGCACAAUGGCGUUCUAAGAUUCAUAUAGCCGACCUGACUCGGUGACUUGGAUUUUUCAAGUCUCCAAUCGAGAAGUUUUCCCCACCCGGGAAAUUAAGGGAACACUACCUCAACCUACAUGCUCCACUCACAAAGCUUCAACAUACAAGCUUCAACAAAAGAAAAAUUCAAAGAACUUAGUGAAGAAGGCUUUGGUGUAUUUAACACAAUACGUUGAAAUGAAACAAAGCUUAUUUAUUGAUAUCUCUAAGAAGUUACAAAUAUGUACAUAUACACGAGUCAAAAUAAACAAACAAGAGGGAGCCUUCACAAAGGUUGCUUAGGAGAAGUCUCAGCAGUCGGCAGAGCCCCAGAAAGAGAAGGCACCGGAGGGGGAUCAUUCGGAGCCUCAGUACUGGACAGCACCCUAGAAGGAGGAGGCAUCGGAGGAUGAUCAUUUGGAGCUUCAUUACGCGGUACAGCCCCAGAAGACGAAGGCAAUAAAUGCCUUUGGAACAAACCCACAAACCUCUGAUGAUCAUGUAAAAUCUGACCAUCAGAUUCCUUCAUCUGGUCAAGCUUCCUCUUCAUGUUUGUAGCAUAGUCAUGAGCGAGCCGGUGCAACUGUUUAUUCUCAUGCUUGAGCCCUCUAAUCUCCUGUUUGAGACUCAUCACUUCAGCCGCCAAUGAUUCAACUUGGCGGGUUCGAGCAAAUAGGCGUUGGGCCAUAUUAGACACAGAACCUGCACACUGAACACUGAGAGCCAGAGAAUCCUUAACAGCCAACUCAUCAGACCGUUUGGAAAGUAGUCUGUUAUCUUUGGGAGUAAGAAGGUUCCUGCCCACCACCGCAGCGGUCAUACAUUCUUCAUCACGGAAUCCCCAACGGUAAGAGGUCCAGUAGGGGAUACGAAUGAUGGGUGCCAUAUGUUGUCUGGAGAAGGCGUGGCUGCCUCUUCAACAAGGUUCAAGUCAAAACGACGGUCGGAGGGGCCAGACAUUUUCAAAGGUGUUGAAGAGAAAAGAAGUCGGAUCAAGAUCUUAGAAAUGCAAGGAGGGAGCUUCUACUGGUGGAGAUUCAAGUGUGCUUUGGAACUUAAUACCAGCCUCUAUAAAAAUCCGCACUCGAUGGAGCUUCAGAAAUCGAAGAGGCGCCUGUUCAGAAAUCGAAAAGGAGUUUGCUUUCUCAAAAGCUAGGCUGCUCAGAGACCACGAGGGCCGAUCUCAGGAAUCGAAGAGGCGUUUGCUUUCUCAAAAGCUGGGCUGCUCAAAGACCACGAAGGUCGAUCACAAAAAUCGAAAAGGCGCUUGCUUUCUCAAAAGCUGGGCUGCUCAGAGACCACGAGGGUCGAUCUCAGAAAUCGAAAAGGCACCUGCUUUUUCAGCCUUGUCAGCACCUGUCACAUGCACACUUAACUUUGCGGAAAUUACGGGCAUUCUUUCGAAGAUUUCUAGUGAAGUAGAAAGCAUGUGAAUGUUACUGUUCAAUCAUUCACUUUCCACGCGCAACAUCAGCUCACGGGUACCACAGAUAACUUUGCAAAACAUCUCUGACAAAGUUUAGACACGUGAAGCUUGCAGCUCCCAUUACAUUGCUAUAACCAAGAAGGGUAAAAGAAUAGCAAAGAAACAGCACUAACAAAGUUUAGACACAUAAAUUUUGAAGGUCUAGCUACCAUAAUAUUACCCAUAAGGGUAAAUGAAUAGGACCAUUGCUGGAUAAUUGGAAAGUCCCUGUGGGUCAACCUCUGUGCUCCGUGGCAAGGUAGACUAGCAAACAGGCCUAACCUUUACUCACAUUCGAGAAAACACUCCCAACAAGAUUGCUUGCUUCAAGAUCGAAGAGGCACCGUCCUCCGAAUCUCGAGAGCCAGACUCCCAACACGAUUACUUUCUCAAAAAGCGACGAGACACUGCUCUCUGAAUCUCGAGAGCCAGACUCCUAGCAGGAUUGCUUUCUCAAAAAUCGAAGAGGCACCGUUCUCCGAAUCUCGAGAGACAGAUCCCCGACAGGAUUGCUUGUUCGAAAACCGAAGAGGCACCGCUUUCUCAUCUUUGAGAGCCCCUUAGAUAAAGCUUGUCUGUAAUCCUCACACCGCUUUCUCAACUUCGAGAGCCAGAUCUCCUUGGAUAAAGCUUGUCUGUAAUCUUCGCACGUAACAUCAGCUUUCCAGAUACCACAGACCACUUUUUCAAAGUGCUCUGACAGAGUUAAAACACGUGAAGCUGGCAGCUCCCACUACCGUGCUAUGACCAAGUAGGGUAAAAGAAUAGUAUUACUCCUUGUUAGGGAGACUCCUAUAUAUGUCGACCUCCAUCCUCAAAGGACAGGCAGACCUGCAAAAAUGCUCAACCCUUCCUCAUAUCUGAGAGGGCACUCCCAACGAAGCCUCUCGAAAUACUCAGCUUUCUUUCCCCCCGAGAAUACCUCUGCAAACAAGCUACACUAGAGCAAGAAUAUCUCAUAUCAUCAGGGUUAAAAGCAAGAGUAUCCCAUAUCAUGCUUUUUUCCUGUCUUUUCCUUUGGCCUUGUUCUUACCUGCAAGACAAGGAGAAAGAGAGCAAUCAGUCAGCACUUGGAAUCAAGCUUCCAGUCCGGAACUGACUGCCUGGAACCCCAUUGCUCUUGAGUACUCAUCUUCAACAUCUUAUGCUUCCCGAGAAGAUACCACAUUUGCCUGAGGAACAAAUAAGGCAAAUGAGAAGGAUACAAGGAAGCAUGUGGAGACAAGCGCAACAGAACACGUGCCGAUACAUCCACUACUUUGUCAACAGCAAAAGUAUCCCAUAUCAGCAGGGUCGAACGUACUCUAGAUUUGAUGGACUUGUUUUGACCCUCAAAUUCUUCAGUCGGCCUUAUACUCUGGUGGAAACAAGAAAACCCUCCAGCCCAGUUCAAGAAUAAGCCUGUGGAAAGUUACUUCUUCAAAAGCAAAAGUAUCUCAUAUCACCUUUUCUCAUUUUCUUCUCUUUAUCCUUCAUGCUACCUGCAAGAUAAGGAGAAGGAUAACAAUCAGCCGGAACUCGAAAUCAAAACUUCUGAUCUGGGACUGAUUGCUUGGAGCUCUGAUUGCUUACUUUGUCUGUCACCUCUUUCAGCAGAUCCCCUAGCUCGGCGACUUGGGGGACUCCUACUACAUGGUUUGUAUCGCGCUUGACCAAGCCUGAAACUACAAGUAAGCGUCAAGUGAAAUUGAUACAUUACCUUGUGCAUCUCCACCAGUUAAAGAUACCACCCCUGAAGGGAGGAAGAGUACUUCCAAAGAAGAUGCCACAUCUACCUAUGAGACAGAUAAGGCAAGUGAAGACGAUACCACACUUCGGUACUUAAAAGUUUCGUGAUUACGAGAUCAUUCUUCCACAAUAUUUCCUAAUGUCAUUUGUACUAAAUCAUUCACUUGUACUCACUAAAUGAGAGCUUGAACCUAUAUACUGUGUAAACCCUUCACAAUUAAUGAGAACUCCUUUACUCCGUGGACGUAGCCAAUCUGGGUGAACCACGUACAUCUUGUGUUUGCUUCCUGUCUCUAUCCAUUUACAUACUUAUCCACACUAAUGACCGGAGCAAUCUAGCGAAGAUCACAAACUUAAUAUUUAAGAUGAUAUUUUUUGGUGUAUGCUUUUCGCAAACGAUAUAGUGUUGAUAGAUGAAACGCAGGAAGGGGUAAACGCGAAGCUUAACCUUUGGAGAGAAGUGUUGGAAUCUAAAGGUCCUCGCCUAAGCCGAUCAAAGACAGAAUAUAUGGAGUGCAAGUUCAGUGCAAACGGAGGCCAAAAUGAGUUAGGGGUGAGGAUCGGAGAUCAGGAAAUACCAAAGAGCGACCGUUUUCGCUACCUAGGAUCUAUCUUGCAAAAGAACGGAGAAUUUGAUGGAGAUCUCACCCAUAGAAUACAAGCUGGAUGGAUGAAGUGGAAGAGUGCAUCCGGCGUGUUGUGUGACCGUCGUAGGCCACUGAAGCUCAAGGGAAAAUUUUAUAGGACGGCAAUAAGGCCGGCAAUGCUGUAUGGCAUAGAAUGUUGGGCGGUGAAGCAUCAACACGUAGGUGUAGUGGAGAUGAGGAUGCUUCGUUGGAUGUGUGGGCAC
This 5095-nucleotide long non-coding RNA is filed under the name Malus domestica (apple). Its description in RNAcentral is "long non-coding RNA (MDOM_LNC007422)". Lineage: Eukaryota; Viridiplantae; Streptophyta; Magnoliopsida; Rosales; Rosaceae. The record is from RNAcentral.